CUCUGAAUGCCUUUCCACAUGCCAGAGGUUGAUGUUAAUAAGAACAGUGGCAUGCUGCUUUGAAAUUGUUGUUUUCCUCAUCUUCCUUUGGUGUGCUCCAGAGAAUAGUUUGCAUCCAUUUGCUCCUCAGGAAGGCUGCCAGCAAUCUUGUCUGUAGAACCAUUGCAGCAAGAAGAAUUUCAUCUCAGCACAGUGCCUGUGUUGGGAUCAAUGGAUCCCAGUGCUCCGCCCUGUGUGGUCCUUCCCUUCUUCUGUCGGUCAGUGAGCCAACUCGUAGAGAGUUCUGAAGUCCAUUCAGAGACCAAAGGAAGCACACUGUUGCUGGAAAAAGAGAGGAGAUUCAAAGACAAGGGGCUUCAUGAUGCUGUGAUUCUGUAUGAACACAAAGGUAAGGAUCUUGGCACUACCCUUUAGUUUUUUGUGUUCCCUGCUUCAUCCCUUUGUUUUCUAGACCAGAGAAGGAGGAAUAUGCCCUCAAACAGUGUAAAGCGUAUCUUCCAAAACUCCUUUUCUC
RNAcentral lists this long non-coding RNA (514 nucleotides) under Junco hyemalis (dark-eyed junco). RNAcentral describes it as "lncRNA (ENSJHYG00000001759.1)". The record is from RNAcentral. Lineage: Eukaryota; Metazoa; Chordata; Aves; Passeriformes; Passerellidae.